This 31-nucleotide ribosomal RNA is filed under the name Corymbia gummifera. RNAcentral's name for it is "partial 18S ribosomal RNA". Lineage: Eukaryota; Viridiplantae; Streptophyta; Magnoliopsida; Myrtales; Myrtaceae. RNAcentral also lists the same sequence under 2 other names. The record is from RNAcentral.
UCCGUAGGGUGAACCUGCGGAAGGAUCAUUG